Long non-coding RNA from Amphimedon queenslandica, 469 nucleotides. RefSeq lists it as uncharacterized. NCBI's taxonomy places the organism in Eukaryota, Metazoa, Porifera, Demospongiae, Haplosclerida, Niphatidae. The record is from RefSeq and is a predicted model, not a curated record. The transcript has 2 exons.
CAUUGUGUGAUAACUAUACAUUCAGUAUAUAGCACAUUUAGUUCUCAGAUUUAGACAAGUAUGCAAAAAUGUAUGUCACUGGCUAUUGGCUAUUAAUCACUGCAUGAUUUAUUUAUUGAAGUACUAUUAUGUUGCUGGUAUAAUGAAGAUGGUCUCCAGUAAGGUAAUUACCAUUACUAUUACAUUCCGAACACAGAAUAGCAUUACAGUUACCAUUACUAUACUUAGUUUGAAUCACAUUGAUUGCAAUUCACUAGCUCCUAUGUACCUCCCUCUCUUUGUCCUUUUUGCUUCCUCUAUUUACAGUAUACCUCUCAAUGCACCACCAAGCUCAGGAUUUGAGAAGUCUUGCAUUCAAUCAAAUUAAAGACAUCAAUAUCAGGAGGACGUUGUGCAUGUAUAACAAUCCAUUAAUUUUUGUUUUUGAUUUUUCAUCACGUUUUAAUAUAAUGCUCAGUUGUACCAAUCU